GUUGUCGGAUUCACUUCAAUGUAUGUGUUGUGGUGUGGAUUGAAGUGGAAUUUAGUUCAAAUUUCAAUCCAAUCCACCUCAAUACAUGUGGAUUGAUGUGAAUCCGACU
Sorghum bicolor (sorghum) is the source of this 109-nucleotide microRNA precursor. It matches the Rfam family "MIR5565 microRNA precursor family". Lineage: Eukaryota; Viridiplantae; Streptophyta; Magnoliopsida; Poales; Poaceae. The record is from Rfam.